Molecule: long non-coding RNA, 1914 nt
Organism: Macrobrachium nipponense
Lineage: Eukaryota; Metazoa; Arthropoda; Malacostraca; Decapoda; Palaemonidae
Exons: 2
Source: RefSeq, a predicted model, not a curated record
UGGAAAUCUCCCUGUUUUAUAUUAAACACAGACAUAUCUAAAAGAUUUAGGUGAAAUAAGGUUAAAAUGUCUUCCCCACCCGUGCCUCAGAAAAGAGCGAGAGAGAGAGAGAGAGAUAAAGACAGCCGCCAGACAUGAAAAAACGAUAAAUAAUGCGAAAUAAAUUGAGGAAGGGCAUUGGUGUCUUCAUAUUAUAUUAAAAACACAAACAUAUAAAAGAUUUAGAUGAAAUAAGGUUAAAUGUCUCCUCCUUCCACCCGUGCCCGUCUUCCCUUCACUGUGCAAGGCCCGGUGCUGGCAUAGUGCCAAAAGAGGCACUGCUCCUGCGGCAGCAGCUUCGGCUUCCUUCGCGUGCCCUUCGUCAUUCUCGUCACCUGACGUCGUCCCCAACGACGUCGUUCGUCUCCGACGUCCUGAAGCCGAAAUAAAGGGCGAGGGAGGAGAAAUAUAAGAGGAAGUCUGACCUCCCUCCCUAAGGACGUCGCGAUGCUUCUUCUAUAGACGAUCUUUCUGAGGAGGUGAACGAGACCCUCCUUAGGCCUACGCAGAAGGGAUUAUUUCAUAUUUUUUUUUGGACGGGUCGGUCCUGGAAUAUAAAGUGGUGCACCAGCGUGUGAACUUCAAGUGGUCAUUGUUACGUACAGUGAGGAAGGGAUUUUCCUGUAGCCAAGUAAAUAACUUGUAUGGUGCUAUGUUCUAUAGGUAAAUAAGGAAAUACGUAUUGUGAUUAUCAGUAUUAAUUGGGCCAUGUUGGCUUUCUUCAUUCUCUUGUAAUACACAGUAUUUGGGAUAAUAUAGUAGUACUGCUUUAACUGUAGAAAGCCUUUAUAACUUACUAGACAAAAUGCAUAUAUGUGCUUUAUGUGGGAAAGAGUGUAGCACUCAAUUUAUGUAUGAUUUUCAUAUGAGCACCCACGAUGAGGUUUUCACUUGCGUGGAAUGCGGGAAAGAGUUUAACAGGAAAUACUGUUAUGUUCGUCACAUGAAAAUUCAUACUGGAGAAAAGCCAUUUGUUUGCCCCAGUUGUGGAAAGGGGUUCCAUGAUAAAAAUGACCUUGUAGUCCACGUCAGAAUACACACUGGAGAAAAGCCGUACAGUUGUGUGAAGUGUGGGAUGAAAUUUAGCCGCAAAACUAACCUUCGUAGGCACAUGGCGGUGCACACGCAAGAGAAGGCGUUUUUUUGUGAGGAGUGUGGAAAGGGAUUCACGCAGAAGGGAAACCUCAAGACUCACAUGAGAAUUCACAGGGGAACCGAACCUUAUCAUUGUCCUGAAUGUGGGAAGAAGUUUAAUUCGAAAUCGGGUUUGGAAGAGCACUUAAAGUCCUACUUGAAAUUCACGUGUUUAGAUUGCGGAAGGAUAUUCAGGAGGCAGGACCUUUACGAUAGCCACAUUGCAACACACACCAAACGGGUAUCAUACGAUUGCGCCGAAUGUGAAGAGAAGUUCCCUCAUCAAGACGAGCUGAAAAGCCACUUGGCUAUUCACACAUCGUUCAAGUGUAAGGAAUGUGGAAAGGAGUUUUCUCUGAGGGGCUGUCUCAAUAACCACAUGACAUCGAAGUCCUGUAAGAGAUCUUGUGCCGAGUCUGAGAAUAAACUGUCUGAAAGUGUGCCAAGUAAAUUUGCCAUUAAGGAAGAAAUUGAAUCGCCUGAUCUACUACAGAAUGACCUGAAACCAGAGACAAUAUACAUUAAAGUGGAAAGUGAAGAGAUUUAAUCUACAGUUUAUGUUUAGAGGAGUUGAGUGCAGGCAGAAACUUAGUACUACGUAUAGGAUUACAUGCUUAGUUUUGUUAUUAGGAAUAAAUGUAUGCCAAAGAAGCUUUUUUUAUUCAUUUACCUUCAUGGCAUAUCAUUACUGUAUGUAUACGUACAGUAAUUAAAAAAGAUUAUAUUGAUGCAGAGUCACAA